Microcebus murinus (gray mouse lemur) is the source of this 559-nucleotide non-coding RNA. Lineage: Eukaryota; Metazoa; Chordata; Mammalia; Primates; Cheirogaleidae. The record is from RefSeq and is a predicted model, not a curated record.
CCAUUCCAGCUAGAAAGAACCCAGGGACCUGCAGGAAAUCUUCCCUCUGAGCCAGAGUAGAGCAACUCUCAAUGCAGCUUCUUGCUUGGCCUCCAAAGCUGUCCUGUUCUCUCUGCCACCCCUGAUGUUCAUCUCCUCAGACUUUAUCCCCCAGAUCAUGAACUCAGCUUCACUAGCUGGACUGAAUGUACCCAUCUGCCUUGACCUGCUUUGUGAACUGCCCUGAGAGAUGAUUGUUCUCAGAUCUGCAGACCACAGCUCAAAGCAUGGACACGUAGAUGCUGAAAGGAAAUAGAACGCAGGUUGUAUCCAAAACCUAACCACUAUCCAUAUUCAGCAAGAAAACACAUUUUCCCACCAUUCUUGCAGUAUGGGUAAAUGUGAUAAAACCACCCAUAUUUCCCCUCCUCCUCUAAGAGAAGAAUCUGUAGCUGUUCUUCAGAAAGGACUCAGAAGAUGGGAAUGUUAGAGUUUCAAUCAUCAUAAUAUUUGUACAGUGUGAAAAAAGAUGUCAGAUGACUGCUAGGAUUAUCUGCUUUGAAGAGAUUUAUUAAAUUGG